GAGUUCAUCCCAGGCCCCACUCUUACCUGUGCUGGACUCCUGGCCCCUGGACUCAGUGGUGUUAUCUGACUGGCCGCUCCAGGCUUCUGAGGGGGUGGUCUCUGGUCUUAAGUGCAGACAGCUCCCAGGCCUGGGGGUUGGGGUGGUGAGGAGGCUGAGUGACAUAUAAGUGACCCCAGAGCAGAGCAGAACAGAACAGAUAGCCCCUACUCUGGGGACACACGUUGUGUGACCCGAGGACAGAGGCGGAGGCGGUGGAAUCCGCUUGGGAGUGCACAGGGCUUCCAGGAGGAGUCCUUGUCAGACACAAGCCCUGAAGAAUGGCUAGUCCCUGAGCACUGGCAAUCCUGACCCACGGUGCGAUCCAAGCACAGCACGUGUGGUGUGCACGAGGGCCCUUGCAGAAAUCCGUGUGUGGUCUGUGCCCAUCCGGUCUCUCAAAAUCCUGGAGCUGGAAGGGAAGGCAGCUGGGGAAGCAGAACACGAAUGUGAAAGGCAUUUCAGAGUAAUGUGUAAACGUAAGCAGAUAAGAAGCAUGGUAGACAGAAGGAAGAGGCCAAGGACAGGAGGUCCCCCCCAUCCCACCAGGGCGAAUCGUCUGGUUAAGGUCCAGGCCUGAUGCAUCUUGGGAUUUGCUGAGUCACUAAAACACCUAACAUGCUCUGUUUUCCAAAGUCAGUGUUUUGGCAAAGGACAGACAUGACGUGGAAAGGAAAGUUUUCACGAACUUAGGAAUCAGGUUCUUCAUACACGUGACAGUGGAGGCUCAUCACCGAUCAACUAGAGUUAGACUCUGCAUCUGCAUGUUUAAGAGUUAACUAACCCUGGAUCCUUGACAUACAAUCCAAACAUACUCGUGGAAAUUCAGCAUCUUUGCGAUAGGCACAGAAAGCCUUAGCCAAGGCAGUGAAUCUCACUGACAUUCAAAGAAUUAUGUCUGACAACUGGAUUUUGAGCAAUUAUUCUUCCUCCUUGUUGGAUGGGGCCUUGGACCCAACAGUAAAUAUUUGUGGCCUCAAGUUGAGUAGAGACACAAAUAUAGUGUAACCCUCUAAAUGCUUUGCUAACCCUCACCAAGGAGUCAAGACCUCGCCGAUCCCUUCAUCCCCCACCCUGUCAAAGCCCAAGGCCGGCAGGAGCCUGGGCUCCCACUGAGCCGCCUCCUUCAGGCCACAGAUCUGCGAUGGCCACAGCACCUCUGUCUUCUCAUGCUAGCUCCGUCCUCAGAGAGAUGCCAGCAGGAUGGUACAAGCUCUGCCAAGGAAGGUCUUGGGAAAGUCAAGCAUCAUCAUUAUUAAUUCCCCGCUGUUUGCCUGGGAUGGAAGCCACUGGAGCACCAAUGGAAGAGUCUUGACUCCAAUAAAUAAACACGUCCUUUGGGCAGAUGUCUGGACUGCUCCGGCUGCUGACUGAUGGCCCCUCGCCAUGACAGUGGGCGCACAGGGACAGCCCAAAGGCUCUGCCUCGUCACAACAAGCAGGCUGGAACCUGGGCCCGGUUUUAGGGCCAUCCCUUUGAAAUACACUGACAGCUUAAUGAAGUGAUAUUUAUGGAACCCAUGCCACUGGGAAGACGGCUGCUCCUUUUCUCCGUCUUCUAUUUUUAAUAUUUGAUCUGGCAAAUGCAUUAUUAAAGGAAUAUUUCAAAUCUGAUUACUCUUCUGUUUGACUGUGUGUUAUUCACGCACGCUGGGCGCCAGGGGAAAUUAUACCGACCAGUCUGGGAGCUUUACGAUGUUAUUCUUUCAAACAGCCCUCUGCUCCGAGUCUGAUUAAUUCACGUGAGAGGCUGUGGGCCCCCUCGCCUUAAUCACAGUGGCCUCCUCCUUUCCUCCCAGUCUCCCUCAAGGCCUGUUCCGGACUCUUCUCCUGGGGCUCAGGAACCUCCUCUCUGAGAAGCGGUCUCCCUGGAUAUCCACAAAGUCGUUCUGCUGUGGUUUUGGUUAAUCAUUGAAUUGUUAACUGAGCCUCAGUCUUCUUCAUAAGGCACAGAACAGUGGGCAGGAACUCGGAGUGUGCCCUGACACGGCCUCACCUGGGUUUGAACCCUGGGUCCAGCCACAGGCGUCAUGGUCACUUUCCUGCACGUCUCGUCUCUCCACUUUUCCCUUUGCAAGAGGCUAGCUCCACCUUGGAAGUCUCAAGCCACCUGAUAAAUCUACCCCUGGCUCGGCCUUUAGCAGGGAGCCAGAGAGAGCCUUUGAGCCCCACAGGGAAGAACAUUCAUGGGGUGGGUGCCGCGUGGCCCUGCCAUGCCACUGGGACUCAGGCAAGAGGCUUCGUCUCCAAAGGCAGAGGGGCACAGAGACGAGACUGUAGGCUCAGCUCUCGCUGACCCACUGAAGCCCGUGUCCUGGCUCUAAGACUCUCUGGGCCUCACAAAUCCCAGGGACUU
Molecule: long non-coding RNA, 2394 nt
Filed under: Equus caballus (horse)
Lineage: Eukaryota; Metazoa; Chordata; Mammalia; Perissodactyla; Equidae
Description: lncRNA (ENSECAG00000053062.1)
Source: RNAcentral